This 575-nucleotide unclassified non-coding RNA is filed under the name Paecilomyces tabacinus. Its description in RNAcentral is "sequence contains ITS1, 5.8S rRNA gene, ITS2". The stretch from base 208 to 361 matches the Rfam family "5.8S ribosomal RNA". The record is from RNAcentral. Lineage: Eukaryota; Fungi; Ascomycota; Eurotiomycetes; Eurotiales; Thermoascaceae.
GGUGAACCUGCGGAAGGAUCAUUACCGAGUGCGGGUCCCCCGGGGCCCAACCUCCCACCCGUGUUGACCGACCCCUGUUGCUUCGGCGGGCCCGCCUGGGCUUUCCGCCUCGGCCGCCGGGGGGCUUAGCCCCCGGGUCCGCGCCCGCCGAAGACCCCCUGAACGCUGCCUUGAAGGUUGCCGUCUGAGUGAUAAAUCAAUCAUUAAAACUUUCAACAACGGAUCUCUUGGUUCCGGCAUCGAUGAAGAACGCAGCGAAAUGCGAUAAGUAAUGUGAAUUGCAGAAUUCCGUGAAUCAUCGAAUCUUUGAACGCACAUUGCGCCCCCUGGCAUUCCGGGGGGCAUGCCUGUCCGAGCGUCAUUGCUAACCCUCCAGCCCGGCUGGUGUGUUGGGCCGCCGUCCCCCCGGGGGCGGGCCCGAAAGGCAGCGGCGGCGCCGCGUCCGGUCCUCGAGCGUAUGGGGCUCUGUCACGCGCUCCGGGGCCCGGCCGGCUGCUGGCCAACGACCUCACGGUCACCUCACUUCUCAGGUUGACCUCGGAUCAGGUAGGGAUACCCGCUGAACUUAAGCAUAU